UACAGAGGUCUCAAGCGUUGUUCGGAUUCAUUGGGCGUAAAGGGUGCGUAGGCGGCGCGGUAAGUCGGGUGUGAAAUCUCGGAGCUUAACUCCGAAACUGCAUUCGAUACUGCCGUGCUUGAGGACUGGAGAGGAGACUGGAAUUUACGGUGUAGCGGUGAAAUGCGUAGAUAUCGUAAGGAAGACCAGUGGCGAAGGCGGGUCUCCGGACAGUUCCUGACUCUGAGGCACGAAGGCCAGGGGAGCAAACGGG
This 253-nucleotide ribosomal RNA is filed under the name uncultured bacterium. RNAcentral's name for it is "partial 16S ribosomal RNA". It matches the Rfam family "Bacterial small subunit ribosomal RNA", at positions 524 to 776 of the family's 1533-position model. The record is from RNAcentral.